Molecule: ribosomal RNA, 449 nt
Filed under: uncultured bacterium
Lineage: Bacteria
Description: bacterial SSU rRNA
Rfam family: Bacterial small subunit ribosomal RNA
Source: RNAcentral
GCCCAGACUCCUACGGGAGGCAGCAGUGGGGAAUAUUGCACAAUGGGGGAAACCCUGAUGCAGCGACGCCGCGUGAGCGAUGAAGUAUUUCGGUAUGUAAGGCUCUAUCAGCAGGGAAGAAAAUGACGGUACCUGACUAAGAAGCCCCGGCUAACUACGUGCCAGCAGCCGCGGUAAUACGUAGGGGGCAAGCGUUAUCCGGAUUUACUGGGUGUAAAGGGAGCGUAGACGGCGGUGCAAGCCAGAUGUGAAAGCCCGGGGCUCAACCCCGGGACUGCAUUUGGAACUGUGCUGCUAGAGUGUCGGAGAGGCAGGCGGAAUUCCUAGUGUAGCGGUGAAAUGCGUAGAUAUUAGGAGGAACACCAGUGGCGAAGGCGGCUUACUGGACGGCAACUGACGCUGAGGCUCGAAAGCGUGGGGAGCAAACAGGAUUAGAUACCCUUGUACUG